This 83-nucleotide transfer RNA is filed under the name Bacteroides sp. RNAcentral describes it as "tRNA-Tyr". It matches the Rfam family "tRNA". From Rfam's summary of the family: Transfer RNA (tRNA) molecules are approximately 80 nucleotides in length. Their secondary structure includes four short double-helical elements and three loops (D, anti-codon, and T loops). Lineage: Bacteria; Pseudomonadati; Bacteroidota; Bacteroidia; Bacteroidales; Bacteroidaceae. RNAcentral also lists the same sequence under 5 other names. The record is from RNAcentral.
GGGCAGUUACCAGAGUGGCCAAAUGGGGCAGACUGUAAAUCUGCUGGCUUACGCCUACGGUGGUUCGAAUCCAUCACUGCCCA